UACGUAGGGUGCGAGCGUUAAUCGGAAUUACUGGGCGUAAAGCGUGCGCAGGCGGUUUUGUAAGCCAGAUGUGAAAGCCCCGGGCUUAACCUGGGAAUGGCAUUUGGGACUGCAAGGCUUGAGUGCGGCAGAGGGGACUGGAAUUCCUGGUGUAGCAGUGAAAUGCGUAGAUAUCAGGAGGAAUACCGAUGGCGAAGGCAGGUCUCUGGGCUGACACUGACGCUCAUGCACGAAAGCGUGGGGAGCAAACAGG
This 253-nucleotide ribosomal RNA is filed under the name uncultured bacterium. Its description in RNAcentral is "partial 16S ribosomal RNA". It matches the Rfam family "Bacterial small subunit ribosomal RNA", at positions 524 to 776 of the family's 1533-position model. The record is from RNAcentral.